This 253-nucleotide ribosomal RNA is filed under the name uncultured bacterium. RNAcentral describes it as "partial 16S ribosomal RNA". It matches the Rfam family "Bacterial small subunit ribosomal RNA", at positions 524 to 776 of the family's 1533-position model. The record is from RNAcentral.
UACGGAGGGUGCGAGCGUUAUCCGGAUUCACUGGGUUUAAAGGGUGCGUAGGUGGGGAUGUAAGUCAGUGGUGAAAUCUCCGUGCUUAACACGGAAACUGCCAUUGAUACUAUGUUUCUUGAAUUAUCUGGAGGUCAGCGGAAUAUGUCAUGUAGCGGUGAAAUGCUUAGAUAUGACAUAGAACACCAAUUGCGAAGGCAGCUGGCUACAGGUGGAUUGACACUGAGGCACGAAAGCGUGGGGAUCAAACAGG